This 207-nucleotide ribosomal RNA is filed under the name uncultured bacterium. Its description in RNAcentral is "partial 16S ribosomal RNA". It matches the Rfam family "Bacterial small subunit ribosomal RNA", at positions 568 to 774 of the family's 1533-position model. The record is from RNAcentral.
CACGUAGGCGGACCGGAAAGUUGGAGGUGAAAUCCCAGGGCUCAACCUUGGAACCGCCUUCAAAACUAUCGGUCUGGAGUUCGAGAGAGGUGAGUGGAAUUCCGAGUGUAGAGGUGAAAUUCGUAGAUAUUCGGAGGAACACCAGUGGCGAAGGCAGGUCUCUGGGCCGUCACUGACGCUGAGGAGCGAAAGCGUGGGGAGCGAACA